RNAcentral lists this ribosomal RNA (433 nucleotides) under uncultured bacterium. RNAcentral describes it as "partial 16S ribosomal RNA". It matches the Rfam family "Bacterial small subunit ribosomal RNA", at positions 29 to 507 of the family's 1533-position model. The record is from RNAcentral.
AGCGAACGCUGGCGGCAGGCCUAACACAUGCAAGUCGAACGAACUCUUCGGAGUUAGUGGCGGUCGGGUGAGUAACACGUGGGAACGUGCCUUUAGGUUCGGAAUAACUCAGGGAAACUUGUGCUAAUACCGAAUGUGCCCUUCGGGGGAAAGAUUUAUCGCCUUUAGAGCGGCCCGCGUCUGAUUAGCUAGUUGGUGAGGUAAAGGCUCACCAAGGCGACGAUCAGUAGCUGGUCUGAGAGGAUGAUCAGCCACAUUGGGACUGAGACACGGCCCAAACUCCUACGGGAGGCAGCAGUGGGGAAUCUUGCGCAAUGGGCGAAAGCCUGACGCAGCCAUGCCGCGUGAAUGAUGAAGGUCUUAGGAUUGUAAAAUUCUUUCACCGGGGACGAUAAUGACGGUACCCGGAGAAGAAGCCCCGGCUAACUUCGUG